UGCCCUGUUCCCACUAGACUAAAGUCAUAUUUGAUAUCAGGUAUCUUCACUCCAGGCAGACUAUAACUUGGGAUUUGGUAAAAGAAUAUUCAUGAUAGGAAGGAUUCUCUUCAAAGGAAGAAUUGACAAUUACUGGUAUCAGAACAGAAACAGACAAUUUAACAUUUUUACCUUUGGCAAACGUGUAUUAUUAGCACAUAGCUUGUCCCUUACAUGAAUGGGUGCUUCAAAUAAUGUGGCGGCCAAAGCAGAAAGGAAAACCCCCAAUUUCAACACUAAAACCCAGAGAAACCCUUUUCGUUUUACUGCUCGAUUCUCCUCUUUUCCACGGAUCCCAGCAGAAUACGGCUCAAUUGCUUAAAAUUGGUUAAUGGUGCUUCGUGUAGUACCGUUGGCUCUGGAAAUUUGGAGAGAUCGAUUAAAAGAUCAAUAAAAUAUCCCCCAUUCAAGCUGCACUUCCAACAAGUGACUCAGAGUUAGCAAGCAACCUUGGCCUCUUGCCAGGAGGUUUAUUGUGCCCCUCCUUCACCAUCCAGUUGCAGUAUGGUACCUAAACUCGAAGCUAUAAUCAGAUCCGGUCCUAUCUGACCAAACCCCGGAAGUUAGAACUGUAAGUAUGCCUACCAAACAAUGGAUAGUAUUUGUUCAGGAUUUUUUUCAUAAUUCAAAAUAAGUAAAACCAAAUUAGAGUUUAAGAGAAUUGUUGGACUCAUAAUUACUUGACAUAUUCUAAAAGAAUAGUUAGGAGUGAUCAAAAGGAUAUAGUGGAAAGUAAUCUUUAAUUUUUAUCGUUAGAUAUUUUUCUGAAGAGAGGUGUGUUAUUCCCAAACACGUUAAAGAGAAUCAAACAAUUCUUUCAAAUGUUUACCGCCCGUACGAAUUUAUAUGAUACCUUUUCAUUUUAAUUAUAUUAAUCUUCAAAAAGAAAAUAUUGAUACCCUGGUUUCCAAAUCCCAUAAAAAUUAAGCAAGUUAAUUUUCAUACCGAAUCUGACUAUUCUUUUUAAGAAGAAAACAAGUAUAUCAAGUUCCUUUUUUUUCUUCUUCUUAAUUAUUGUUUUGAAGAUAACAUCUUUAUUCCCAGAUGUGGACUUUAGUGAUCUUUAGUCCAAAUAACCUCAGAUCAAGUAAGACAAGUUAUAGUGUCUUUACUCCCAAUCCUGCAUAGGCUCAGAUAAAUUU
Molecule: long non-coding RNA, 1181 nt
Filed under: Solanum tuberosum (potato)
Lineage: Eukaryota; Viridiplantae; Streptophyta; Magnoliopsida; Solanales; Solanaceae
Description: long non-coding RNA (STUB_LNC003054)
Source: RNAcentral